AUAUUUAUCUGACAGGGGAGAUAGUAUGAUCAUCAAGGUGGUUUUCUCGCAGUGAGGCUCAUCCAUGGCACUCCGAGUGUACUGACCCCUACAACUUCUCCAAAUAUGAAGACUCCACUGCAUAAUUUGUGGUACUGGGGAUUGCAUUUGUUCUUUCCCCUA
Prolemur simus (greater bamboo lemur) is the source of this 162-nucleotide small nuclear RNA. Its record names the gene U1. It matches the Rfam family "U1 spliceosomal RNA". From Rfam's summary of the family: U1 is a small nuclear RNA (snRNA) component of the spliceosome (involved in pre-mRNA splicing). Its 5' end forms complementary base pairs with the 5' splice junction, thus defining the 5' donor site of an intron. NCBI's taxonomy places the organism in Eukaryota, Metazoa, Chordata, Mammalia, Primates, Lemuridae. The record is from Ensembl.